This 559-nucleotide long non-coding RNA is filed under the name Homo sapiens (human). Its description in RNAcentral is "non-protein coding lnc-ZNF738-3:1". The record is from RNAcentral. Lineage: Eukaryota; Metazoa; Chordata; Mammalia; Primates; Hominidae.
AUGGUACAGGAGAGCCUACAGGAUUUGGGGGUAGAAUUGCACCUUCAUAAUAAUGGGAAUGGGAGUGGUGUUUCAGCCUCAGUUUCAAUUUAUUAUGGUGACUUGAAAAAAAUACUGCUGGAUUUCCAGCAUGAGUCCAGAUAGAGAUAGGAUGGUUCUCCCUGUGAAAACCCACCUCUUUGUCAACACCAAGGGAUAGCAUUAGGGCUUCUAAAACAGACAUCUGAAGCAUUGAAGAGAAAAACAGCUCUUGGUCUGAUUCUACUGCAAAAAUUAUAUUGAGAGAAAAAAGAAGUUAAAUGUAUCUUGAGAAAAAACUCAGAUUAGAUAUGAUUGAUCAAGUCAGUCAGAAAAUAUUCCCCUAAAAGGAAUUUCUCUUAAAAUACCCCUAAUGCACAGCUACUCUUGGCAUGAGAAACAUGAGCAUUAUGAAGAAAAAAAGCAUAUUCUCAGCAGAAUUUUAUAAGGUUUCUCUUCCAUCUCUGCUGCUCUCAUCUCCUAGCCAUUGAAUGGGGGUUCCAUAUUGAAAUACAACUGACAAUUCACCAGCACUUUUUAA